Molecule: ribosomal RNA, 392 nt
Filed under: uncultured bacterium
Lineage: Bacteria
Description: bacterial SSU rRNA
Rfam family: Bacterial small subunit ribosomal RNA
Source: RNAcentral
UGAGGAAUAUUGCACAAUGGGCGCAAGCCUGAUGCAGCGACGCCGCGUGUGGGAUGAAGGGGCUACGCCUCGUAAACCACUGUAGCCCGGGACGAAAAACGCCUUAGAGGCGUUAGACGGUACCGGGAAAGUAAGGGUUGGCUAACUACGUGCCAGCAGCCGCGGUAAUACGUAGGACCCAAGCGUUGUCCGGAUUUACUGGGAGUAAAGGGUGCGCAGGCGGAUGGGUGAGUCAGGGGUGAAAGUCUGCAGCUUAACUGUAGAAUUGCUUCUGAUACUGCUCAUCUUGAGUUUGGGAGAGGUUGAUGGAAUUCCAGGUGUAGCAGUGAAAUGCGUAGCUUUCUGGAAGAACACCAGUUGCGAAGGCGGUCAACUGGCCCAUAACUGACGCU